AAAACAUCUCUUAUUGAGUAAAAUAUUAAGUUGACUCUGCCCAAUGAAAUUUAAAUGGCUGCAGUAUAUUGACUGUACAAAGGUAGCAUAAUAAUUUGUUUUUUAAAUGAAAACUAGAAUGAAAGAGGUGAUGAAAUAUAAACUUUUUUUAAGUAAUAGAUUGAAUUUAAUUUUUAAUUUAAAAAGUUUAAAUUUAAUUAAGGGACGAGAAGACCCUAUAAAAUUUUACAAUAUAAAUUUUUUAUUAUAAUUAUAAAAUAAAUUUUGUUUAUUUGGGAGGAAUGUUAAAAUUAUAAACUUUAAUAAAUAUUUACAUAAAUUUAUGGUUUAAAGGAUUUUAAAUUAAGUUAAAUAUUAAAUUAAAUUACUUUAGGGAUAACAGCGUAAUAUUUUUUGAUAGUUCAUAUUAAAAAAAAUGUUU
This 421-nucleotide ribosomal RNA is filed under the name Epyris sp. RNAcentral's name for it is "partial large subunit ribosomal RNA". The record is from RNAcentral. Lineage: Eukaryota; Metazoa; Arthropoda; Insecta; Hymenoptera; Bethylidae.